RNAcentral lists this long non-coding RNA (1104 nucleotides) under Monodelphis domestica (gray short-tailed opossum). Its description in RNAcentral is "lncRNA (ENSMODG00000041347.1)". The record is from RNAcentral. Lineage: Eukaryota; Metazoa; Chordata; Mammalia; Didelphimorphia; Didelphidae.
UAGAAAGAUCUCUUUUGAAUAUCUUCUUAAAGUAUCAAAAAAAGGAAGGGAGAAAAGAAAGAUGAGAGUGGAAAUAAAAGUAAGAGUGAAAUCUUUGUUCAGAGGCAGAGUAAACGGAAGAGAAAGGCAACGGAAUGGAAUGAGAAAUCUCAAAUGUUUGGCAAACUUUUAAACCAUCUUCUUAAUUUUUCUUAAAGGGAGUAGUGGUAAAUAAGGGAAAAGUGCAGGAAGAAAACCAUAACUGUGGAUGUGAAUGAGAAUGCAUACAUAGGGAAAAUAGUAGAAUGGAUAAAAAAUGUUGUUUACAAGAUACACAUUUAAAACAUAAAGAUUCACAAAGUUAAAAUAAAAUCUGAAACAAAAUCAAUUAUGCUUCAGCUGAGCUCAGGCAACUAUAGAAAUCAUUAUUUAAGAUGAUGUUACAGUAAAAACACAUGAUAAAAAAAGAGAUAAACAGAAAAACUGCAUUAUGCUAAAGGCUCCAUAUCUAACAAACCAAUAUUAAUAUUUAAGUUUUUUUUGGCCCUUACAAGAGCGAGGAUCGUUUUAAAAACAUUUUUUAUUUUAAUAAUUUUAUUUAGUCAAUUUAGAACAUUAUUCCUUGGUUACAAUAAUAACAUUAUUUCCCUCCUUCCCCUCCACCCACUCUUCCCACAGCCAACACGCAAUUUCAUUAGGUAUUACAUGUGUGCUUGAUCAGAAACCAAUUAAAUGUUGUUUACACUAGGAUGUUCAUUUAGAGUCUACAUCCCGAACAAUAUACCUUCAACCUAUAUAUUCAAGCAGUUGUUUUUCUUUGGUGUUUUUACUUCCACACUGUUUCCUCUGGAUGUGGAUAGUGGUAUUUCUCGUAAUCAACAUUAUACAUAAUGAAGGAGUGCUGUGUGACAAGGAAAUCACUUUAAAAGACUGAUAUAUAUUAAUUUAAGUCAACCUUUUAUGGAGUUUAAUUACAAACAGGAGGAAGAAAGGUAUUAGAGAUAGAGAAAGAGAGGGAGAGAAAAAGGGGAGAGAAGGGAAUAGGGCAUAAAUACCCCUUCUGUUUAGGCUGGGCCAAAAGGCCCAAGCCCUUAGAUAGCUGAGGCAAAGAAAAGAGAUCAGUCC